GGACUACCCGGGUUUCUAAUCCUGUUUGCUCCCCACGCUUUCGCAUCUGAGCGUCAGUCUUUGUCCAGGGGGCCGCCUUCGCCACUGGUAUUCCUUCAGAUCUCUACGCAUUUCACCGCUACACCUGAAAUUCUACCCCCCUCUACAAGACUCUAGCCUGCCAGUUUCAAAUGCAAUUCCGAGGUUAAGCCCCGGGCUUUCACAUCUGACUUAACAGGCCGCCUGCAUGCGCUUUACGCCCAGUAAUUCCGAUUAACGCUCGCACCCUCCGUAUUACCGCGGCGGCUGGCAC
RNAcentral lists this unclassified non-coding RNA (292 nucleotides) under uncultured Vibrionaceae bacterium. Its description in RNAcentral is "contains 16S-23S intergenic spacer region". Lineage: Bacteria; Pseudomonadati; Pseudomonadota; Gammaproteobacteria; Vibrionales; Vibrionaceae. The record is from RNAcentral.